ACUCCUACGGGAGGCAGCAGUGGGGAAUAUUGCACAAUGGGCGCAAGCCUGAUGCAGCCAUGCCGCGUGUAUGAAGAAGGCCUUCGGGUUGUAAAGUACUUUCAGCAGUGAGGAAGGUGGAUAUGUUAAUAGCAUAUUCAUUUGACGUUAGCUGCAGAAGAAGCACCGGCUAACUCCGUGCCAGCAGCCGCGGUAAUACGGAGGGUGCGAGCGUUAAUCGGAAUUACUGGGCGUAAAGCGCAUGCAGGUGGUUUGUUAAGUCAGAUGUGAAAGCCCGGGGGCUCAACCUCGGAAUUGCAUUUGAAACUGGCAAACUAGAGUACUGUAGAGGGGGGUAGAAUUUCAGGUGUAGCGGUGAAAUGCGUAGAGAUCUGAAGGAAUACCGGUGGCGAAGGCGGCCCCCUGGACAGAUACUGACACUCAGAUGCGAAAGCGUGGGGAGCAAACAGGAUUAGAUACCCUGAUAGGCGUAG
Molecule: ribosomal RNA, 473 nt
Filed under: uncultured bacterium
Lineage: Bacteria
Description: bacterial SSU rRNA
Rfam family: Bacterial small subunit ribosomal RNA
Source: RNAcentral